GAUGAACGCUGGCGGCGUGCCUAAUACAUGCGAGUCGAGCGAACAGACGAGGAGCUUGCUCCUCUGACGUUAGCGGCGGACGGGUGAGUAACACGUGGAUAACCUACCUAUAAGACUGGGAUAACUUCGGGAAACCGGAGCUAAUACCGGAUAAUAUAUUGAACCGCAUGGUUCAAUAGUGAAAGACGGUUUUGCUGUCACUUAUAGAUGGAUCCGCGCCGCAUUAGCUAGUUGGUAAGGUAACGGCUUACCAAGGCAACGAUGCGUAGCCGACCUGAGAGGGUGAUCGGCCACACUGGAACUGAGACACGGUCCAGACUCCUACGGGAGGCAGCAGUAGGGAAUCUUCCGCAAUGGGCGAAAGCCUGACGGAGCAACGCCGCGUGAGUGAUGAAGGUCUUCGGAUCGUAAAACUCUGUUAUUAGGGAAGAACAAAUGUGUAAGUAACUAUGCACGUCUUGACGAUACCUAAUCAGAAAGCCACGGCUAACUACGUG
Molecule: ribosomal RNA, 497 nt
Filed under: uncultured bacterium
Lineage: Bacteria
Description: partial 16S ribosomal RNA
Rfam family: Bacterial small subunit ribosomal RNA
Source: RNAcentral